UGCGGGGGGGGCAAGCGUUGUUCGGAAUUACUGGGCGUAAAGGGCUUGUAGGCGGCCAACUAAGUCGGAUGUGAAAUCCCCAGGCUUAACCUGGGAACUGCAUCCGAUACUGGUCGGCUUGAAUCCGGGAGAGGGAUGCAGAAUUCCAGGUGUAGCGGUGAAAUGCGUAGAUAUCUGGAGGAAUACCGGUGGCGAAGGCGGCAUCCUGGACCGGCAUUGACGCUGAACAGCGAAAGCUAGGGGAGCAAACGGG
Molecule: ribosomal RNA, 253 nt
Filed under: uncultured bacterium
Lineage: Bacteria
Description: partial 16S ribosomal RNA
Rfam family: Bacterial small subunit ribosomal RNA
Source: RNAcentral